AAAAACAAAAGUCACUCUCUUUUUCUUUGUCUUUGCCGAACCCAAACCCUAGGAAAAUAGCAAAACUCCAUUAAUUUUAACUCAAGAUUUUAAAGAAAGGUAUGUAGACUGUCAUUUUUGAUGAGGCUUCGUAUUCUUGUUUCAUGAAGUCUCUAUUUUGGACGAUGUGGUAUUUUGUAAAUAUUUUCCUAUCUUAGCGCUGCAGUAGUAAUAUCUAGAUAGACAGAACUCUUUAGCAUGCUUUUUAAUUUGCGAUGAACUGCCACGUUAUAACUCUGUUUUAUUUUCAUC
This is a long non-coding RNA of Mercurialis annua (annual mercury), 291 nucleotides long. RefSeq lists it as uncharacterized. The transcript is spliced from 2 exons. The record is from RefSeq and is a predicted model, not a curated record. NCBI's taxonomy places the organism in Eukaryota, Viridiplantae, Streptophyta, Magnoliopsida, Malpighiales, Euphorbiaceae.